GGUUUCGUGGUGUAGUGGUUAUCACGUCUGCUCCACACGCAGAAGGGCGCGAGUUCGAUCCUCGCCGAAACCU
Molecule: non-coding RNA, 73 nt
Organism: Octopus bimaculoides (California two-spot octopus)
Lineage: Eukaryota; Metazoa; Mollusca; Cephalopoda; Octopoda; Octopodidae
Source: Rfam